Molecule: non-coding RNA, 409 nt
Organism: Kogia breviceps (pygmy sperm whale)
Lineage: Eukaryota; Metazoa; Chordata; Mammalia; Artiodactyla; Physeteridae
Source: RefSeq, a predicted model, not a curated record
CGGGCAUCACUUCCGGUGCACACAAGCUGUUAUUCUGCUCUGGAAACUUAAGCAGAGGAGAAGGGAGAAGGAAAAAGAGUCUGGUGCACUGAAACCUGCUCUGAUGGCGCACAAGAGUUGAUUGUGCAUGGCUCGGUCCUAACGCUGUGUUCAGCGACAUCAAACUGCCCACUUGCAGUUGGGUGGGGCCGUGUGACCAGUUCUGCUGAGUGAGCUGUGAGUUGAAGUGACACGUAGCAGAUUUAGGAGCUGAUGUGCCAUCUUCCAGCCUUCUCUUCUACAGCUGCAAUCAUGGAGGCCAUAUGUUGAGACAGCAGAACCACAGGAUGAAGUAACCUGAUUGCUGAGUCAGCACAUGGAGAACAGCUGUCUUUAGAGAGCUGCCUGAUUGUCUGUGGAUGUCAGGGAA